Molecule: unclassified non-coding RNA, 404 nt
Filed under: soil metagenome
Description: partial contains 5.8S ribosomal RNA, internal transcribed spacer 2, and large subunit ribosomal RNA
Rfam family: 5.8S ribosomal RNA (bases 1-122)
Source: RNAcentral
GAUGAAGAACGUAGCAAAAUGCGAUACUUGGUGUGAAUUGCAGAAUCCCGUGAACCAUCGAGUUUUUGAACGCAAGUUGCGCCCGAAGCCUUUUGGCCGAGGGCACGUCUGCCUGGGCGUCACGCAUCGCGUCGCCCCCCACAAUUCUCCGUAAAGGGAACAUGUGUUUUGGGGGCGGAUAUUGGUCUCCCGUGCUCAUGGCGUGGUUGGCCGAAAUAGGAGUCCUUUCGAUGGACGCACGAACUAGUGGUGGUCGUAAAAACCCUCGUCUUUUGUUUCGAGCUGUUGCUCGCAAGGUAAACUCUUUAAAAACCCCAAUGUGUCGUCUCUUGACGACGCUUCGACCGCGACCCCAGGUCAGGCGGGACUACCCGCUGAGUUUAAGCAUAUCAAUAAGCGGAGGA